This 785-nucleotide ribosomal RNA is filed under the name uncultured bacterium. Its description in RNAcentral is "bacterial SSU rRNA". It matches the Rfam family "Bacterial small subunit ribosomal RNA", at positions 8 to 806 of the family's 1533-position model. The record is from RNAcentral.
AGAGUUUGAUCCUGGCUCAGGACGAACGCUGGCGGCGCGCCUAACACAUGCAAGUCGAACGAGCGAGAGAGAGCUUGCUUUCUCAAGCGAGUGGCGAACGGGUGAGUAACGCGUGAGGAACCUGCCUCAAAGAGGGGGGCAACAGUUGGAAACGACUGCUAAUACCGCAUAAGCCCACGGGUCGGCAUCGACCAGAGGGAAAAGGAGCAAUCCGCUUUGAGAUGGCCUCGCGUCCGAUUAGCUAGUUGGUGAGGUAACGGCCCACCAAGGCGACGAUCGGUAGCCGGACUGAGAGGUUGAACGGCCACAUUGGGACUGAGACACGGCCCAGACUCCUACGGGAGGCAGCAGUGGGGAAUAUUGCACAAUGGGGGAAACCCUGAUGCAGCGACGCCGCGUGGAGGAAGAAGGUCUUCGGAUUGUAAACUCCUGUUGUUGAGGAAGAUAAUGACGGUACUCAACAAGGAAGUGACGGCUAACUACGUGCCAGCAGCCGCGGUAAAACGUAGGUCACAAGCGUUGUCCGGAAUUACUGGGUGUAAAGGGAGCGCAGGCGGGAAGACAAGUUGGAAGUGAAAUCUAUGGGCUCAACCCAUAAACUGCUUUCAAAACUGUUUUUCUUGAGUAGUGCAGAGGUAGGCGGAAUUCCCGGUGUAGCGGUGGAAUGCGUAGAUAUCGGGAGGAACACCAGUGGCGAAGGCGGCCUACUGGGCACCAACUGACGCUGAGGCUCGAAAGUGUGGGUAGCAAACAGGAUUAGAUACCCUGGUAGUCCACACCGUAAA